This 337-nucleotide small RNA is filed under the name Enterobacter cloacae. Its description in RNAcentral is "isrL Hfq binding RNA". It matches the Rfam family "isrL Hfq binding RNA". Lineage: Bacteria; Pseudomonadati; Pseudomonadota; Gammaproteobacteria; Enterobacterales; Enterobacteriaceae. The record is from RNAcentral.
UUAGCGACGUCUACUUCUUCGCUCUGCUGGUAGAGUUUCCCCACGGCUUCGCUGAUGGCCGGGUGCCAGGUGACGGCGCGGUUAACGGCAUCGCCAAGCUGCAAUGAACCGGGUGCGGCUUUGCCAGCCGCAGGUGCGACGCGGCCGUUGAGCGAGGGGAGUUCCUGCGUUUCGCGAAGCUGUCCGGUAUUGAUGGUGGCCGCCGGAUUUGCGCAGAAAGCGGGCACAGAUAUCAGGCAGCACGAGAGCCACCAGUAAGGCAUCUUCAUUCCCAUGUCAUGUCCCUAUAAAAAAAUACGGCUUUAUUAUUUAUGCCCGGGCGCUGCGCGCCCGGGUC